AGUAUUGCACUUCCAAAAUUUUCCCUGCUACAGAAGUACUGGGGAAGACAGUCUGUCUGAAACGUACAGAACAAGAAUUGGAGACUUCAAAAAUGAAAAUUCCACUUCUAGAAAUUGACAUUUUUUGUCAAAUAUGUGCAUUUCAGCCUAGGCAACAAAGGAUUCAAAAUCUCUUCUUUUAAACACCUGCAACUACUCAUUCCUGAAGUGGCUGAAGUAUGUGUGCUGUGCUUUAUCCAGAGCUUAUCUGUCAGUCAAGUGACAGCUACUGACCAGUCUAAUACAGCACAGAUGGAAAGUUUCACAUCAGGACUUGGCAUUCAGAAACGGCUAAAGGUCAAGAAAGAUUCCACUGUGCAGAUUCAUCGUGACAGCACGCAGGCUCUCCAGCGGCAGAGAGGUUUUGUGCACGAGGACGCGUGCAGGGUGGCAGCUGUCUGCAAUAACACGGCACGGGCAGCGGCGGGGAAGGAGAAGGGUCAGCGAUGGAGGUGUUUGCUCAGGCCGGUCCGCCCGGAAGCAAGUUUUGCAAAACGGGCUGGUAUGGCUUGCACCCACCGCAGCGGUUUGGCUGCCACCCGCCGCAGACCCUACGGGAGCAGAGGCACCAGCCGCUGUGAGCUACCGUGGAUUUGACAGACUUUCUAGAUGUCAGCAAGCAUCCGCGAUGUCCCCCGCUGCUGGGCUCUCUGCCGGACCAUGUCUUGCCCACAGGUGAAGAGAGAGAAGGCGUAAAGAUGGUUGAACCCUUUCUAGACCCGACAGUGCAUGCCCUGAACUUUUGCUGGGCUUUCUACCAGCCCUUCUAGCUGACUUUACUGAACUGCUGUUUUAAUCAUGAAAAUUCCCCCAGUUUCCACACGGGAAGCAGGCAGGUCUCUCCUGCUUGCUGCCGGUCGACACGGAGCAGUUGUGCCAGGGGCUUCUGCUCUUUCCCACCCUCCGUCCCUGCAUCGAGUGCUCUCCAAGGUCCGCGGCUCGCAGGCCAUCUGCAGUCCCGUGACCGGUGCGCUGCUUGAUCUCUGCUCUAGGUCCGUGCCAAGUAGGUGAAAGUUGUGCUGCGACUGUGUCGUUUUAGGGAGGCCAUCUCCAACUGUUAGUAUUAAAUGGAGAGGAAGUUGCUUUUCACUGGGAAGAAAUGCUGGAUACAUCUGAUCUUCUGAUGCAAAACACCGUGUACGCGUGGGUGAACAAGGACCAAAGGAAACGUAGGAUACUGUUUACACGUAUGGCCGAGCCUGUGCAAUCACAGGCCGGGAUAAGGCAUCCAGCAGGCUGGUGAGGACACUGGGAAAUUUCAUAACAGGUCACUCGGCGCUCACAGAUGCUGCUAUUAAAACACAACAAGUUUUAUUGCCAUUGCCGGACUCUAAAUCUCCAACUUCAACGACUGGCGCCUUUCGGAAGAAAACAUCCGGCUUCAGCAAACUUUGAUGCUCUCCAAGCGUGAGCCACCGUGCGUCACUUGCGGAUGGGGCUCGUAACAGGCAGAGCGCAGUUAGAAAAUACAUUGCAAAACCAGAACGCAAGGAUCUAGCGCCUGCCUUGUCUCGCUCAAGGCACGGGCACCUCGGACGUCGCGAUGUGGCUGCUGAUGGGCCUCUUCUACCCCGCAGGGGGCAGAUGAAGUUCUGCU
Molecule: long non-coding RNA, 1636 nt
Organism: Apteryx owenii (little spotted kiwi)
Lineage: Eukaryota; Metazoa; Chordata; Aves; Apterygiformes; Apterygidae
Source: Ensembl